CUCUGACUCCUGAUCUGUGAUCCCGGACCUGUUACUACUACGCUGAUCUCCAGCCCCGAUGUCUCCAACCACCACCACGACGACUUCCUGCAAUUCUUUGACACCAAAAUCAACAUCAUCCACCAUCAGCUGACCUCAUCCUGCACUUCCAAGUGAUCCACCUUGGAUGGUUACCACCGGCCAACCAUUCACCAGCACCCUGUAACGUUUCUCGCUCACUCUCAUUGAUGCUCUCGACACUCUUCUGGUAAGAUCUGAAGAAAAAAAAAUGUCAUUCUGUAAACGUCUUAGAUGACGUCUGAUUAUUAUCAGAGACAAACUUUAGACUCCUGUCUGUGUGAAAGUGUGUUAAAGACUUUGACGUCAACGCCUCCGUGUUCAAAACCAACAUCAGAGGUAAAGAGGAGGGGGCGGAGGAAUUGUACCUUCAUGUUA
Long non-coding RNA from Cottoperca gobio, 435 nucleotides. RefSeq lists it as uncharacterized. The transcript is spliced from 3 exons. NCBI's taxonomy places the organism in Eukaryota, Metazoa, Chordata, Actinopteri, Perciformes, Bovichtidae. The record is from RefSeq and is a predicted model, not a curated record.